This 564-nucleotide unclassified non-coding RNA is filed under the name Poa bulbosa. RNAcentral describes it as "partial external transcribed spacer". Lineage: Eukaryota; Viridiplantae; Streptophyta; Magnoliopsida; Poales; Poaceae. The record is from RNAcentral.
CAUGAGUGGUUUUGGACCCGUGUCUGCCGGUAGAUCCCCCGACUCUUUGUGCGGCCGACUACCGGCGCCGUGUCCCGUCGGUUCUGUGGCUUAUGUUACUGUUGCCUUUCAAGCGCUUGUGUGUUGGUACCCGAACUCCGGGUAGUGGUGCUUUGUAUUCGGUUGCCUCGCGGUGGCCGCCUUCGGGUGUGCUGCUGCGGCCAAAUGGCGCUAGCGGCGUUUCCUCGUUGUGCCGGCAUGUUUACUCUGCCGGUGCAAUCAAGGCAACCUCGCUCCCGCUGUUGGUCUCGGAUGUUGCCUACGUUAAAGUCUCUUGGCCCAUUUAAGUUGCCUUGACCYGACCCUAAGAAGCUCUCCGAAAAAUUGAGAACAACCGGAACAGGUGUUGCCUCUACCUCUCCACAGUUAGUGGUAGGAUUACGCAACAUUCUGCGCCGAUCCUCAAACUAGUAGGACGAGCUUGGCCCGCUCAAAUGCGACAACCGGCCCGGCCGUUKGCUCUGCCUUGACACGCAAGUGGAUGGGUGGACAACUUCCGACGCUGGACGUCAAAGAGGACGUGCU